CCUACGGGAGGCAGCAGUGAGGAAUAUUGGUCAAUGGGCGAGAGCCUGAACCAGCCAAGUCGCGUGAGGGACGACGGUCCUAUGGAUUGUAAACCUCUUUUGUCGGGGAACAAAGGCGCCCACGGGUGGGCGGAUGCGUGUACCCGAAGAAAAAGCAUCGGCUAACUCCGUGCCAGCAGCCGCGGUAAUACGGAGGGGGCAAGCGUUAUCCGGAUUUACUGGGUGUAAAGGGAGCGUAGACGGCAGGACAAGUCUGGAGUGAAAUGCCGGGGCUUAACCCCGGAACUGCUUUGGAAACUGUGCAGCUAGAGUGCAGGAGAGGUAGGUGGAAUUCGUGGUGUAGCGGUGAAAUGCGUAGAUAUUAGGAAGAACCCCGGUGGCGAAGGCAGCUGACUGGAGUGUAACUGACGUUGAGGCUCGAAAGCGUGGGGAGCAAACAGGAUUAGAUACCCUUGUAGUC
RNAcentral lists this ribosomal RNA (460 nucleotides) under uncultured bacterium. Its description in RNAcentral is "partial 16S ribosomal RNA". It matches the Rfam family "Bacterial small subunit ribosomal RNA", at positions 338 to 795 of the family's 1533-position model. The record is from RNAcentral.